AUCCUCUCUUUUCUUUUUUCUUUUCUCUCCUGUCCCUCCAAAUCAACCCUAUCAAACACACCCUUGGGGAUUCAGAAUGUGGAAAGAGAGAGACCCGAAUCUCUCAUCUAUCGAUUUCAACCGUGUUGAUGCCAGUAAUUUGAGGAAAGAAAGCUUGAUUUCCUAAACUCGUCUUUCUCAGAUUGGGCUCCCUACGGUGUCGAUCAUUCCGUUACCGACCAGCGAAGAGGUUAGGGUUUUCAACUAGCGACCAAAAAUUGAAGUUGAGGAGAGCCACCAUGGACGACGUCUCUGAGGAAGAAAAGAAGUAGCCUUGGUGGGUAUUGCUGUAUUUAUUGGCCUGAACUAGCUUUUGUUACAAGAAGGGAGAACCAACCCCUUCAUUAAGUGCCAGGUUACUCGACAAAAUAAUUAAGCAAAUAGUGAUGGAUAAAGAAUGGAUGCACACGACUUACAGGAUUGAUUAUCACCAGUUCAUUAGUAGCUGAAGAAUCAGAAUUUCUAUGAUUUCAGUCUACAACAAAGCUACUUUUUUGGAUUUCGUAUCGUGGAUUUUGCAGCUACUUCCUUGGAUUUUGUACAGUGAGGUGGUUUUUUAACAAGUGCAGACUGAAACUCAAGUGUUUGAAGGUUUAUCAAUUUUUCAACAGAAGUGUUAAGAAAUUGAUGAUUUUCUUGGCAAAUGGAUUUACUUCCUUUUUUGGAACAUUGAUAAAUGUUGAAUUGUUUUGGUACAUUGAUUAUGAUGAAUUGUAAAAAUGUAUGAAUUGUAAAAAUGUUUUAACUCUUUUGAUAUAUUUUAUGGGAUAUGUAUGUUUUCUGAAUUGAAUUAUAGCUGAAAGUUAUGUGAA
Molecule: long non-coding RNA, 851 nt
Organism: Cornus florida
Lineage: Eukaryota; Viridiplantae; Streptophyta; Magnoliopsida; Cornales; Cornaceae
Exons: 5
Source: RefSeq, a predicted model, not a curated record